Molecule: transfer RNA, 69 nt
Filed under: Marmota monax (woodchuck)
Lineage: Eukaryota; Metazoa; Chordata; Mammalia; Rodentia; Sciuridae
Description: tRNA.Ala
Source: RNAcentral
GCGGUUGUGGCUCAGAGGUAGAGUGCUCGCCUAGCACGGGCGGACCUGGGUUCGAUCCUCAGCACCACA